GCCGGGGUGGUGGAAGCGGCAGACACAAGGGACUUAAAAUCCCUUGGGGAUUUCCCCGUGCGGGUUCGAGUCCCGCCCCCGGCA
Molecule: transfer RNA, 84 nt
Filed under: Pseudomonadota bacterium
Lineage: Bacteria; Pseudomonadati; Pseudomonadota
Also listed under: 2 other names
Description: tRNA-Leu
Rfam family: tRNA
About the family: Transfer RNA (tRNA) molecules are approximately 80 nucleotides in length. Their secondary structure includes four short double-helical elements and three loops (D, anti-codon, and T loops).
Source: RNAcentral